Molecule: long non-coding RNA, 428 nt
Filed under: Gallus gallus (chicken)
Lineage: Eukaryota; Metazoa; Chordata; Aves; Galliformes; Phasianidae
Description: lncRNA (ENSGALG00010009881.1)
Source: RNAcentral
ACAGAGCAGCACGGCUGCUCUCGCGAGAUUGGCUGACGUGGCGUGGUGCGUUGCCAGGGCAACGGCUCUGCGUCCCCGCCCCUUGCCUAGAAAAAGCGUCGGGGAGAGCGGCGUCGUGUCGUUGCGCACCAUGGGCGGAGGGGAGGAGUCUGGGUGUGUGAAUCACGUGGGACUUUCAAACGCGGAGAAGCCCAACUGCAGUGAUUUCACAGACGUGCUCACCCCAGCCAGCAGUGUCUUGAGAAGCUACAGACUCCAUGGCCAAGGAAUGAACCAUCCUAGGACACUGGGAGCAAGCUGCUGAGACACCUAUAUUUGGCCUUCCUUCUGUACCCACUCAGUGACACAGUAAAUAUUUUGGGUGAUUGACUGAUUCCGUCUGAUCUACUAAUUUCUGUGUUCUGGAAUGGGGCAGCAUUGUAUCUACG